GAUCUAUACAUCCAGUUUUAGAAUAGCCAUGGCUAUAUAGUGAAACUCUUUCUUAAAAUAACAACAAACAACAUCAGGCUGACUUUCUUUUCUUUUUUAAAAGAUUUAUUUAUUAUUAUACAUAAGUACACUGUAGCUGUCUUCAGACACACCAGAAGAGGGUGUCAGAUCUCAUUACGGAUGGUUGUGAGCCACCAUGUUGUUGCUGGGAAUUGAACUCAGGACCUCUGGAAGAGCAGUCGGUGCUCUUAACCUCUGAGCCAUCUCUCCAUCUCCUUGGUGCUGCUAUUGUUAUUAUCUAGGUUCCUAUCCUUUGCUCAUGUUCAUCACCAGUACUGAUGCUGUCCUCUCCCAAUGGACUUUAUAUAAUCUCUAAGGAUUUAUUUAUUGUGGGUGUGUUUGCACCUGUAUGUACACACAAGUGCACCAGCACUACUGUAGAGGUCAAGAACAACUGCUUGCUGUGACUUCUCUCCUUCUGCCAUGUGGGUGGUCCUAGGAGCAGGACUCAGGUCUCCAAGAUUGGCAACAAGCACCAUUACCCACUGAGCCAUCUUGCCAGCCCAAGUCCAAUGUUGAUAAUGGCUGGAUUUCAUGUACAUAAAAAGCCAUUCCAGGGAUGGAGGCGUGGUCCAGUGGUAGAGCGCUUGCCAAAACAGCACACUGCCCUGAAUUCCAUCUCCAACACUAAAUGCGGAGGGGAAAAAAUGAAAAAGAAAACACUCACUGAGGAGGCAGAGGCAGGGGGUUCACUGCAGGUUGAGGCCAGCCUGUGCUACAUAGCAGAUUGGAGGUAAGGCAGGAAUCUGCAGCAGGACUCUGUCUCAACACCCCUCAUUCCAUACGAUACUGCAGAGUAGACGCUAGCAACGAAAAGUCUCAACUGUGAGCUAGGCCUGCGUGGUGCAUGCCUUUAGAGGCCAGCCUGGUUUAUACAGUAAGUUCCAGGACAGCCAGGACUACACAGAGAGAUGUUGUCUCAGAAG
Molecule: long non-coding RNA, 986 nt
Filed under: Mus musculus (house mouse)
Lineage: Eukaryota; Metazoa; Chordata; Mammalia; Rodentia; Muridae
Description: long non-coding RNA chr7:19187384-19188370
Source: RNAcentral